This 107-nucleotide small nucleolar RNA is filed under the name Jatropha curcas. RNAcentral describes it as "Plant small nucleolar RNA R71". It matches the Rfam family "Plant small nucleolar RNA R71". Rfam says of the family: R71 is a member of the C/D box family of snoRNAs containing the C (UGAUGA) and D (CUGA) box motifs. Multiple nearly identical copies of this snoRNA have been identified in Arabidopsis, and it is thought to function as a 2'-O-ribose methylation guide for 18S ribosomal RNA. The record is from Rfam by way of RNAcentral. Lineage: Eukaryota; Viridiplantae; Streptophyta; Magnoliopsida; Malpighiales; Euphorbiaceae.
AAUCUAUAAUGUGGGCACUUCCUCAAUGGGUCCUUAAGUCUCUCCCAAGCUUCAUACAAACUCUCUUAAUCAUGUUGGGCAAAAGUCAUUAUCUUAUUGCAAAGCUU